Aethalodelphis obliquidens (Pacific white-sided dolphin) is the source of this 564-nucleotide RNA transcript. It is a transcript of the gene named ubiquitin-conjugating enzyme E2 variant 1 pseudogene, with no coding region annotated. The record is from RefSeq and is a predicted model, not a curated record. NCBI's taxonomy places the organism in Eukaryota, Metazoa, Chordata, Mammalia, Artiodactyla, Delphinidae. The transcript has 2 exons.
AUGUUUGUGGCUCCUCCAAGUGGGGCCCAGGGCAGCACAGCCAGCGAGAGCGAUGCAAGAUGGCAGCCACCACAGGCUCGGACAAUUUAUGAAAACCGAAUAUACAGCCUUAAAAUAGAAUGUGGACCUAAAUACCCAGAAGCACCCCCCUGUGUAAGAUCUGAAACAAAAAUUAAUAUGAAUGGGGUUAAUAGUUCUAACGGAGUGGUGGACCCAAGAGCCAUACCAGUGCUAACAAAAUGGCAGAAUUCCUAUAGCUUCACAGUUGUCCCGCAAGAGCUUCAGCGCCUAAUGAUGUCCAAACAAAAUAUGAAACUCCCUCGGCCUCCUGAUGGACGGUGUUACAGCAAUUAAUCGAAAAGAAAAACCACAGGCCCUCCCCCACCCCCCAUUCGAUUUAAGCAGUCUUCGUUUUCCACGGUAGUAAAUUUUCUAGAUACGUCUUGUAGACCUCAAAGUACUGAAAAGGAAGCUCCCAUUCAAAGGCAGUUUAUCUUAAGAUACUGUAAAUGAUACUAAUUUUUUGUCCAGUUGAAAUAUAUAAGUUGUGCUGUAACAAAAAAA